CCAGGCAUGGUGGCACGUGCCUGUAGUCCCAGCUACCCAGGAGGCUGAGGCAGGAGGAUGGCUUGAACCCGGGAGGCGGAGGUUGGAGUGAGCCGAGAUUGCACGACUGCACUCCAGCCUGGGCGACAGAGCGAGCCUCCAUCUCAAAAAAAAUAACAAUUAAAAGAAUGAAAAAAUAAAAUAAAAUAAAUAAAGGGGGAACUAAAGAUACAAGGGGAUAAGGAAAGAUGGAAGCUGCUGCUUUAUGGAGACAAGGUGGAGGGACAUCACCAUGAGAAGCUAUAGAGGAUAAGCAGUUGAAGCUUUGCACAAAAUGUAGAUGACAAAGAUGGGUAGCUCUGGAUGGUUAUUUUCUGCUUGUUUGUUUUGCACCUGCUUAAAAAAAAACACCUGAUUUUUUUUUUUCUGUAUUGCCACCUUCCUUCUUUCAUUAAGAAGCUGCUGUUAUGGCUCCAAAUAGGACCUUGUGCCAUGAAGUGCAAUCUGCACUAACACAUCUACAAAUGCAUGUCAAUCACACCUAAAGUAGAAAAAGAAAGCUCUUGUGGAAUUAUUCUAAAGUCUAAUGGAUUUUUCUUCCCCACUCUUAAGGGGCAUCUCAGCAACAAGUUGUUAUGGAACUGUGGCAACAUCUUAAUAUUCCCAUUCUCAAAAUAGUUCAGAAAAAGUGCAUGAAAAUUGGGGGAACUACUUAGUAAGCACUUCAGGAUAGAGAAUGUAGCUAAAAUGAGUAAAGUGGAGAAGGAGUCAACGGCAUUGUGCACAGCAUUGUAUUCAUAGCUUGCUCCCUUAAAUCGUGUUUGGGACUUGGCUGCUAUUUUGGUACAGCUGCUAUUACUCAGUGCAGAACAUUAACAUAUGGGGGAAAUUGUAUAUUACACAAUGCAGCUUCCACAUUAUGCUGACACCAUUCCUCUACUUGUCCAUUUACUUUAAGAGACACUUACUGAUGCAAAGGAGACUGAACAGUGAAGGAUCUCACUCAGAAUCCUGUCCACAAUCUGUCCAGUUUACACCUUACCCCAAAGAGGUAAUCUCUUUUGUUAAUUACCUGUGUAUCUUCCAAUUUUUUCAUGAUAAUAUAAUAAUGACUCUUCAUUCCCUCUUUUUUUGACACAGAGGUAGCCUGUUAUACAACGUUCUUCACCUCAUUCUCUCACUUCACAAUAUAUCUUGGAGAUCUUACCAAAAGCACACAGAGACCUCCUGCGUUGUGAUUAGAUUUUCAUUGCAUAAUAUUCCAUUGUUCGUGUGUGUGUGAGUGUUUAGUUAGUCUCAAAUUGAUAGGUGCAUGAAUUUUUCCAAUCUUUUGUUAAGGCAAGCAGUAUUGAAUAAACUUGUACAUAAUAUUUUUGCAUGUGUAUAAUUAUAUCUGUAGAAUGAGUUUCAAAAAAUGAAAUUGAAAGGUUUAAGGCUGUAUUCACAAACAAUUUUGAAAGGUAUUGAUUGCCUAAUUGUCCUCCAAAAGGUUUGUCCCAAACUGGACUCCUAUAACCAAUAAAUCAAAGUGCUUGUUUCUCCAUAGCCUUGUCAACAGAGGGUGUUGCCAAACUUUUAACUUUUUGCCAAUCUGACAGGAAAGACAUGAUAUCUCCUGUAGUUUUUCUUCUUCCUCUGGUAAAAGCAAGGUUAAGUGUUUUUUCAUGUGUUUAAUAACUAUUUUUGUUUCCUUUUCUGAGUUUCUUCACAGUUCCCGAGACAGAAAAAAGGAAAAAGGAUUUCAGCAGACAGAAUUUCAACAACAAUUGUCUGUUAAAAUUCUUUUUACUUUUUCUUUCAGAGAUUGCUAGUCUCUUUCUUCUCAAUUUUAAGGUGCAUUUUAAUUGCUAAAGAGGUCAUUUCUUUGGAUGUGAUAUGCAUGAAAAUAUUUCUAUAAGUUUUUCAUUUGUCUUUUGAUUUUUUAUGAUAUUUUCUGCUACUCGGAACUGCUUUUUAUUUUAUGUAGUUCAGUUUAUUAAUUUUCUGUCCUAUGGCUUUUACGAUUUGGAGUUACAGUUAG
Molecule: long non-coding RNA, 1999 nt
Filed under: Homo sapiens (human)
Lineage: Eukaryota; Metazoa; Chordata; Mammalia; Primates; Hominidae
Description: non-protein coding lnc-TRIM26-2:33
Source: RNAcentral